This is a long non-coding RNA of Hordeum vulgare subsp. vulgare (domesticated barley), 376 nucleotides long. RefSeq lists it as uncharacterized. NCBI's taxonomy places the organism in Eukaryota, Viridiplantae, Streptophyta, Magnoliopsida, Poales, Poaceae. The record is from RefSeq and is a predicted model, not a curated record. The transcript is spliced from 3 exons.
AAAUUCGUGUUAGCUCACUUGGGGAAAUGGAAGUGAAAACUGGAAAGCGAAUUGUGAAAGAAGUUCUGACGACCCGUUCCCGUUGGCAUGGCGACGGCGUCUGAAAAGAACGGCUCUCCCUCUCUGCUCGUGCGCCCGCCCCGGCGACGGCUCCCCGGCGGGCGUCGAGUCCUCCCAGCGGCUGGCGGGCCCUCCCGGCAGCGAGUUCCGUGAGAUGGAUUCGGGUCGAAAUCGAGGUGCGUUCAGGAGGAGCAGAAGCACUAUGCAAUCGAGGUACUUAACUGUCAGGUGAAACCAGUUAUGUACCAGCUGACAAUGGAUUUCAUGGCAUUGUUCUACCAGCUGAAAAUGGAGACAUGUAGCGCAGUGUGUACUU